CCAAGCCAAGAAUUAGUUCUAAAUCUAAAGUUCUAUUCUAAAUCCAAAGUUUUCGAAUUAGAAUACAGAUAUUUCAAGGACUCACAGCAUAUUGAUUUGCGUUGCACCAUAACUCGGUCAGAUUAACUGGUGUCUACUGGUAGUCGUAAAACAUUUCUAAUCAAUAGUUCUCUUGAAUAUUCUAUAUUUUAGCGUAGCAACAAUUCCUAAAGAACUCUCUGAAUCGGUACAUUGACCAUUCACAUUAUCAGUUUUAAAGAUCCGAUCAUAUCAUGAAAGUUCGAAAUGCCUUGAAAAUCUUAGUGCGACUAGACUCAGGUUUAUGGUCCCUGGCUAUAAAUAAGCAAAUCAACAUCAGUCCCGCUUAUCACUGUUUACCCGACUCACGUUUCAAAACGGACUUCGUCUCUUACAACCGUUAAGUAAUACGUCGUCAUAUCACGACCUGAACCCGAAAGAUAACGUACUGUGACGAUACCGAUAAGAUAUCGUCCAGAUAUUUAGUGUCCUACCGUCUACACGUCUGGCACGUCAUGACGUCCCACAAGAAUUCCUCUUCUCACAACUUCUCACUCGACUCUUCAGAAAGGCCUAUAUCCGUAUGACCGCUUAAGGCCUCCCCUCGUGUUAAUCCAACACAGCCACAAGGACGACUUACCUCCAUCUGUGGAAUGUAUUCAUCCGUCGGUCCGCCCAUCCGUCCCAGCUCUCCCACGUUCAGCUCCUGCAUGUCCGGCACGGCCACGUCCGCCUCUACCGGCUCCUCCAGCGGCGUGGUAAACAGGUCCGGCGUCUCCCCAGCAUCCGGUACGUCCUCGGGCACCGCUGGUUCUUCCUCGCCCUCGGGCAGGUAGUCCAUCACGCCAGCCACCAUCGCCAUCUCGCCGGCCGAAACCUCCACAUCGUUCCGUCAUCAUCUGGCCAGCACUGUUCGUCAUAGCCUCGCUGAAUGCCGGGUUAAUGUGGCCUCCUUCCGUGUAGAUGCCCUCCGUAAAAGCCGU
Molecule: long non-coding RNA, 1001 nt
Organism: Anopheles arabiensis
Lineage: Eukaryota; Metazoa; Arthropoda; Insecta; Diptera; Culicidae
Exons: 3
Source: RefSeq, a predicted model, not a curated record